Molecule: long non-coding RNA, 256 nt
Filed under: Homo sapiens (human)
Lineage: Eukaryota; Metazoa; Chordata; Mammalia; Primates; Hominidae
Description: non-protein coding lnc-LRRC38-6:1
Source: RNAcentral
UUUUUUUUUUUUGGUAUUUUUAGUAGAGACGGGAUUUCACCGUGUUAGCCAGGGUGGUCUCGAUCUCCUGACCUGGUGAUCCGCCCACCUCGGCCUCCCAAAGUGCUGGGAUUAGAGGCGUAAGCCACCGUACCCAGCAGCUCUCUUGUUCUUUACAGAAGUCUUGCAAACUAGUAUCAUCCUCAUUUUUUAGCUGACAAUGGUGAGGCUAAGAGGUUAAGUCAACUGCCCAUGAAAUGAGCAAGUGCCAGUGCAU